AGAGUUUGAUCCUGGCUCAGGAUGAACGCUGGCGGCGUGCUUAACACAUGCAAGUCGAACGAACCUUCGGGUUAGUGGCGGACGGGUGAGUAACACGUGAGAAUCUGCCCUCAGGAGGGGGAUAACGGUUGGAAACGACCGCUAAUACCCCAUAUGCCGAAAGGUGAAAUGAAUUUCGCCUGAGGAUGAGCUCGCGUCUGAUUAGCUAGUUGGUGAGGUAAUGGCUCACCAAGGCUUCGAUCAGUAGCUGGUCUGAGAGGAUGAUCAGCCACACUGGGACUGAGACACGGCCCAGACUCCUACGGGAGGCAGCAGUGGGGAAUUUUCCGCAAUGGGCGAAAGCCUGACGGAGCAACGCCGCGUGAGGGAUGAAGGCCUCUGGGCUGUAAACCUCUUUUCUCAAGGAAGAAGAUAUGACGGUACUUGAGGAAUAAGCCACGGCUAAUUCCGUGCCAGCUGUCGGGUUAAUACGGGAGUGGCAAGCGUUAUGCGGAAUUAUUGGGCGUAAAGCGUCCGCAGGCGGCCUUUCAAGUCUGCUGUAAACACGUGGAGCUUAACUCCAUCAUCGCAGUGGAAACUGUUGGGCUUGAGUGUGGUAGGGCAGAGGGAAUUCCCGGUGUAGCGGUGAAAUGCGUAGAUAUCGGGAAGAACACCAGUGGCGAAGGCGCUCUGCUGGGCCAUAACUGACGCUCAUGGACGAAAGCCAGGGGAGCGAAAGGGAUUAGAUACCCCUGUAGUCCUGGCCGUAAACGAUGAACACUAGGUGUCGGGGGAAUCGACCCCCUCGGUGUCGUAGCCAACGCGUUAAGUGUUCCGCCUGGGGAGUACGCACGCAAGUGUGAAACUCAAGGAAUUGACGGGGGCCCGCACAGCGGUGGAGUAUGUGUUACUUCGAUGCACGCGAAGAUCUACCAGAUUUGACAUUCUGCGACUCUAGAAUUUGAGGUGCUCGGUACGCAUGACCGUGUUGCAUGGCUGUCGUUUGCUCGUGUCGUGAGAUGUUGGGUUAAGUCCCGCAACGAGCGCAACCCACGUUUUUAGUUGCCAGCAUUUAGUUGGGCACUCUAGAAAGACCGCCGGUGAUAAACCGGAGGAAGGUGUGGAUGACGUCAAGUCAUCAUGCCCCUUACAUCCUGGGCUACACACGUACUACAAUGCUACGGACAAAGGGCAGCAAACUCGCGAGAGCAAGCAAAUCCCAUAAACCGUGGCUCAGUUCAGAUCGUAGGCUGCAACUCGCCUACGUGAAGUAGGAAUCGCUAGUAAUCGCAGGUCAGCAUACUGCGGUGAAUACGUUCCCGGGCCUUGUACACACCGCCCGUCACACCAUGGAAGUUGGCCAUGCCCGAAGUCGUUACUCCAACCCUUGUGGAGGAGGACGCCGAAGGUGGGGCUAAUGACUGGGGUGAAGUCGUAACAAGGUAACC
RNAcentral lists this ribosomal RNA (1427 nucleotides) under uncultured Prochlorococcus sp. RNAcentral describes it as "bacterial SSU rRNA". It matches the Rfam family "Bacterial small subunit ribosomal RNA". Lineage: Bacteria; Bacillati; Cyanobacteriota; Cyanophyceae; Synechococcales; Prochlorococcaceae. The record is from RNAcentral.